CGCCGGGGGGCUCACGCCCCCGGGCCCGCGCCCGCCGAAGACACCCUCGAACUCUGUCUGAAGAUUGUAGUCUGAGUGAAAAUAUAAAUUAUUUAAAACUUUCAACAACGGAUCUCUUGGUUCCGGCAUCGAUGAAGAACGCAGCGAAAUGCGAUACGUAAUGUGAAUUGCAAAUUCAGUGAAUCAUCGAGUCUUUGAACGCACAUUGCGCCCCCUGGUAUUCCGGGGGGCAUGCCUGUCCGAGCGUCAUUGCUGCCCUCAAGCACGGCUUGUGUGUUGGGCCCCGUCCUCCGAUUCCGGGGGACGGGCCCGAAAGGCAGCGGCGGCACCGCGUCCGGUCCUCGAGCGUAUGGGGCUUUGUCACCCGCUCUGUAGGCCCGGCCGGCGCUUGCCGAUCAACCCAAAUUUUUAUCCAGGUUGACCUCGGAUCAGGUAGGGAUACCCGCUGAACUUAAGCAUAUCAAUAAGCGGAGAAA
This 476-nucleotide ribosomal RNA is filed under the name Penicillium sp. Sj/2/2. RNAcentral's name for it is "eukaryotic LSU rRNA". The stretch from base 97 to 249 matches the Rfam family "5.8S ribosomal RNA". The record is from RNAcentral. Lineage: Eukaryota; Fungi; Ascomycota; Eurotiomycetes; Eurotiales; Aspergillaceae.